AUCGCCAGGGAACUACGAGCCCAUACUUAAAACCCAAAGGACUUGGCGGUGCCCCACUCACUCUAGAGGAGCCUGUGCUACAAUCGAUUAUGCCCGCUAAACCUGACUGCUUUUUGAUUAUUCAGCUUGUAUACCUCCGUCGUAAGCUCACCAUGUUGAAUUGUUGUACAGUGAGCCUAAAGGCUUUACUCUCCAAUACGUCAGGUCAAGGUGCAGCCCACAAAGCAGAUAGUAAUGGGCUACAAUUUCUAAGAUAGAACCCACGAAAGACCGCAUGAAACACGGUUGCGAAGAAGGAUUUAGAAGUAAAAAGAAAAUAGAUUGUUCUUUUUAACCACGUGCUGGGGCGCGUACAAACCGCCCGUCACCCUCUUCGACCAAACCUAAUUGAUCAAUAACCCAACAAUUUAACCAAGAA
This 418-nucleotide ribosomal RNA is filed under the name Breviceps gibbosus (giant rain frog). Its description in RNAcentral is "partial small subunit ribosomal RNA". It matches the Rfam family "Bacterial small subunit ribosomal RNA", at positions 868 to 1460 of the family's 1533-position model. The record is from RNAcentral. Lineage: Eukaryota; Metazoa; Chordata; Amphibia; Anura; Brevicipitidae.